CACAGUUAAGGUCUGUUGAGAGGAGGGAAGGGGUGUCACAUAUCCUCAAGACUUGAAGAGAAAAGACUUGUUGUGCUCUCAGAGAAACCAUGUGCUGGCUACCGAACGACCAGCCGCUGCUCCUACCCGGAGCCUCCGCCUGCGGCGCCCGCCGCCCCUCGCCGUGCUCGGUGGCUCAGCUGCUGGCGUCGCGCCUGCGGAGGAUCGGGGACCAGCUGGAGAAGAGCUGGACGGCCGGGGACCCGGGGAGCGGCUCCGGAACCGGCUGCGGGGGCCGCGCGGAGCCGCUGGCGGCCGGGCGGGGCCAUCUGAAGAGCUUCCUGUGCACUGCGCUGCACUUGACCGUGCUCGUGCUGGUGGUCGCGAGGCGACACCUGUAGGGCGCGAGGCGGGAGGCGGCGACAGCAGCAACAGGUGGAUCCUUUUAGGACCAUGCACGAGGAAAGGGCUCACAUCAUUUGCACUACAAUCGAGGGAUGCAGGAGUCAGGAGGCUGCGGUCCAGGAUGGGAGGUGUGCAGCGAGGGAAGGACCGAGAGAGGAGGAAGAGGAGGAGGAGGAGGAUUUAAAUCAGCCUUUCGGGGCCUUAACUUUGAGCCUGAAACUCUUUACGCCACAAAGACUUCCGUCAGGCCCGAUGCAACACUGAACCCUGCAGUCAGCCCCCCCCCCCCUCCCACCGGUUACAAAACGGUGAUGUAAUCCUCCCCUGGUACCCUGGUAGAGCGGAGGGAAAAGCUUAGGAAUAGGACUCCCUUUGAAUCACCUCCCACCAUGCGAGUGCAGCCAUGGCCGACGGGGUUAGACUGAUUAGACCUUUAAAUGCACUACGCUUCAUAAUGCACUGGGCCGUUUUACAUAAGCUAUGCCGUGGAAAUACUGAGAGGAGGGUUGUUUUUAUAGGUGUGCUCUACAGUGUUUAGACACAUGCUCGUGUGCUUUAGCAUCAUCUGUUCCUUUAGUGUGUUUUCAUCAGAUGCAGGACCUGCGCAUCGGGAGUUAUGCUGUCUGUUAUUUCUGGAAAUAAGCUUUUCUCUGAUAUAUCAAAUGUAAUGUGAAAAGAAUCACUGACAACUGUCUUUUAUAAAAGUGUGUGCUAUUUAUACUUUUUUUCAAUAUUUCAUGUUUUUUUUAGUGGGUAAAGUAAUAAAAAAAAAUCUUUCUGAAAUA
Gasterosteus aculeatus aculeatus (three-spined stickleback) is the source of this 1169-nucleotide long non-coding RNA. RefSeq lists it as uncharacterized. The record is from RefSeq and is a predicted model, not a curated record. NCBI's taxonomy places the organism in Eukaryota, Metazoa, Chordata, Actinopteri, Perciformes, Gasterosteidae.